Molecule: regulatory RNA element, 303 nt
Organism: Cavia porcellus (domestic guinea pig)
Lineage: Eukaryota; Metazoa; Chordata; Mammalia; Rodentia; Caviidae
Rfam family: Mason-Pfizer monkey virus packaging signal
About the family: The packaging signal is located in the 5' UTR and is required for specific RNA encapsidation.
Source: Rfam
UGGUGCCCAGCGUGGGGGCUCCUGGCACAGGGGAGUCAAUGAAGGAGCUGUUCGAGAAUGCCAGCUAAAAGUGAGAGCAAAUUGAAUCAAGGACUGAGGCCUGCACCAAUGAUUGCCUGACAUGCCUCCCGAGUCACGGUGAGUGAAUGGCAAUCCCAUUCCCUUUCCCUGACAUGGGUCAAGCAUUGAGCGAACAUGAAUUGUUCGUGGGAGGCCUUAGCAAGGCAUUAAAGACAAGAGGGAUAAGGGUUAGAAUGAAAGAAUUGUUGCAGUAUUUUCAAUUUAUUUUUAAGGUUUGCCCUU